This 435-nucleotide ribosomal RNA is filed under the name uncultured bacterium. RNAcentral's name for it is "partial 16S ribosomal RNA". It matches the Rfam family "Bacterial small subunit ribosomal RNA", at positions 29 to 507 of the family's 1533-position model. The record is from RNAcentral.
AGCGAACGCUGGCGGCAGGCUUAACACAUGCAAGUCGAGCGGGCAUCUUCGGAUGUCAGCGGCAGACGGGUGAGUAACACGUGGGAACGUACCCUUCGGUUCGGAACAACUCUGGGAAACUGGAGCUAAUACCGGAUACGCCCUUAUGGGGAAAGGUUUACUGCCGAAGGAUCGGCCCGCGUCUGAUUAGCUAGUUGGUGGGGUAACGGCCUACCAAGGCGACGAUCAGUAGCUGGUCUGAGAGGAUGAUCAGCCACACUGGGACUGAGACACGGCCCAGACUCCUACGGGAGGCAGCAGUGGGGGAUAUUGGACAAUGGGCGCAAGCCUGAUCCAGCCACGCCGCGUGAGUGAUGAAGGCCUUAGGGUUGUAAAGCUCUUUUGUCCGGGACGAUAAUGACGGUACCGGAAGAAUAAGCCCCGGCUAACUUCGUG